RNAcentral lists this ribosomal RNA (497 nucleotides) under uncultured bacterium. Its description in RNAcentral is "partial 16S ribosomal RNA". It matches the Rfam family "Bacterial small subunit ribosomal RNA", at positions 28 to 507 of the family's 1533-position model. The record is from RNAcentral.
GAUGAACGCUGGCGGCGUGCCUAAUACAUGCAAGUCGAGCGAACAGAUGAGGAGCUUGCUCCUCUGACGUUAGCGGCGGACGGGUGAGUAACACGUGGAUAACCUACCUAUAAGACUGGGAUAACUUCGGGAAACCGGAGCUAAUACCGGAUAAUAUAUUGAACCGCAUGGUUCAAUAGUGAAAGACCGUUUUGCUGUCACUUAUAGAUGGAUCCGCGCCGCAUUAGCUAGUUGGUAAGGUAACGGCUUACCAAGGCAGCGAUGCGUAGCCGACCUGAGAGGGUGAUCGGCCACACUGGAACUGAGACACGGUCCAGACUCCUACGGGAGGCAGCAGUAGGGAAUCUUCCGCAAUGGGCGAAAGCCUGACGGAGCAACGCCGCGUGAGUGAUGAAGGUCUUCGGAUCGUAAAACUCUGUUAUUAGGGAAGAACAAAUGUGUAAGUAACUAUGCACGUCUUGACGGUACCUAAUCAGAAAGCCACGGCUAACUACGUG